RNAcentral lists this ribosomal RNA (1345 nucleotides) under uncultured bacterium. Its description in RNAcentral is "bacterial SSU rRNA". It matches the Rfam family "Bacterial small subunit ribosomal RNA", at positions 28 to 1381 of the family's 1533-position model. The record is from RNAcentral.
GAUGGACGCUAGCGGGAGGCCUAACACAUGCAAGCCGAGCGGUAGAGAUCUUUCGGGAUCUUGAGAGCGGCGUACGGGUGCGGAACACGUGUGCAACCUGCCUUUAUCAGGGAGAUAGCCUUUCGAAAGGAAGAUUAAUAUCCCAUAAUAUAUUGAAUGGCAUCAUUUAAUAUUGAAAGCUCCGGCGGAUAGAGAUGGGCACGCGCAAGAUUAGAUAGUUGGUGAGGUAACGGCUCACCAAGUCAGUGAUCUUUAGGGGGCCUGAGAGGGUGAUCCCCCACACUGGUACUGAGACACGGACCAGACUCCUACGGGAGGCAGCAGUGAGGAAUAUUGGACAAUGGGUGAGAGCCUGAUCCAGCCAUCCCGCGUGAAGGACGACGGUUCUAUGGAUUGUAAACUUCUUUUAUACUGGGAUAAACCUACCCUCGUGAGGGUAGCUGAAGGUACAGUAUGAAUAAGCACCGGCUAACUCCGUGCCAGCAGCCGCGGUAAUACGGAGGGUGCAAGCGUUAUCCGGAUUUAUUGGGUUUAAAGGGUCCGUAGGCGGAUCUGUAAGUCAGUGGUGAAAUCUCACAGCUUAACUGUGAAACUGCCAUUGAUACUGCAGGUCUUGAGUAAAGUAGAAGUGGCUGGAAUAAGUAGUGUAGCGGUGAAAUGCAUAGAUAUUACUUAGAACACCAAUUGCGAAGGCAGGUCACUAUGUUUUAACUGACGCUGAUGGACGAAAGCGUGGGGAGCGAACAGGAUUAGAUACCCUGGUAGUCCACGCCGUAAACGAUGCUAACUCGUUUUUGGGUUUUCGGAUUCAGAGACUAAGCGAAAGUGAUAAGUUAGCCACCUGGGGAGUACGUUCGCAAGAAUGAAACUCAAAGGAAUUGACGGGGGCCCGCACAAGCGGUGGAUUAUGUGGUUUAAUUCGAUGAUACGCGAGGAACCUUACCAAGGCUUAAAUGGGAAUUGACAGGUUUGGAAACAGACUUUUCUUCGGACAAUUUUCAAGGUGCUGCAUGGUUGUCGUCAGCUCGUGCCGUGAGGUGUUAGGUUAAGUCCUGCAACGAGCGCAACCCCUGUCACUAGUUGCCAUCAUUCAGUUGGGGACUCUAGUGAGACUGCCUACGCAAGUAGAGAGGAAGGUGGGGAUGACGUCAAAUCAUCACGGCCCUUACGCCUUGGGCCACACACGUAAUACAAUGGCCGGUACAGAGGGCAGCUACUAUGCGAAUAGAUGCGAAUCUCGAAAGCCGGUCUCAGUUCGGAUUGGAGUCUGCAACUCGACUCUAUGAAGCUGGAAUCGCUAGUAAUCGCGCAUCAGCCAUGGCGCGGUGAAUACGUUCCCGGGCCU